RNAcentral lists this long non-coding RNA (276 nucleotides) under Elaeis guineensis (African oil palm). Its description in RNAcentral is "long non-coding RNA (EGUI_LNC077562)". The record is from RNAcentral. Lineage: Eukaryota; Viridiplantae; Streptophyta; Magnoliopsida; Arecales; Arecaceae.
GGUCGAGUCUGUGGACUGCCUGGGCGUUUCCCAAGCAUUUCUCGAGGUCCACGACACUAUUCCGUGGAUCGAAAUGCGAUUGGAUGGCGUGGGUGGCUUCCGGUCUUGAUCCGAUGGUCCAAAGGGUUAUUUGACUUUGUUUAGGACUCCUAAUCCCUCUCUAAUUGAUGUUUAAGCCUUCAAAAGGCUGGGAAUACAUGAAAUAGGGUGGUGGCUUAGUUUUUCUCACAAAAAAUCAUGAGGCUAUAGAUGCGCGGCACAGACGAUCAGAACCCG